RNAcentral lists this ribosomal RNA (552 nucleotides) under uncultured bacterium. RNAcentral's name for it is "partial 16S ribosomal RNA". It matches the Rfam family "Bacterial small subunit ribosomal RNA", at positions 355 to 895 of the family's 1533-position model. The record is from RNAcentral.
UGGGGAAUUUUGGACAAUGGGCGCAAGCCUGAUCCAGCCAUGCCGCGUGCGGGAAGAAGGCCUUCGGGUUGUAAACCGCUUUUGUCAGGGAAGAAAUCUUCUGAGUUAAUACCUCGGGAGGAUGACGGUACCUGAAGAAUAAGCACCGGCUAACUACGUGCCAGCAGCCGCGGUAAUACGUAGGGUGCAAGCGUUAAUCGGAAUUACUGGGCGUAAAGUGUGCGCAGGCGGUUUUGUAAGACAGAGGUGAAAUCCCCGGGCUCAACCUGGGAACUGCCUUUGUGACCGCAAGGCUUGAGUGCGGCAGAGGGGGGAUGGAAUUCCGCGUGUAGCAGUGAAAUGCGUAGAUAUGCGGAGGAACACCGAUGGCGAAGGGCCAAUCCCCUGGGCCUGCANUGACGCUCAUGCACGAAAAGCGUGGGGAGCAAACAGGAUUAGAUACCCUGGUAGUCCACGCCCUAAAACGAUGUCAACUGGUUGUUGGGAAGGUUCCUUCUCAGUAACGUAGCUAACGCGUGAAGUUGACCGCCUGGGGAGUACGGCCGCAAGGUU